RNAcentral lists this ribosomal RNA (468 nucleotides) under uncultured bacterium. RNAcentral describes it as "partial 16S ribosomal RNA". It matches the Rfam family "Bacterial small subunit ribosomal RNA", at positions 28 to 507 of the family's 1533-position model. The record is from RNAcentral.
GACGAACGCUGGCGGCGUGCUUAACACAUGCCAGUCGAACGGAAAGGCCCUGCUUUUGUGGGGUGCUCGAGUGGCGAACGGGUGAGUAACACGUGAGUAACCUCCCCUUGACUUUGGGAUAACUUCAGGAAACUGGGGCUAAUACCGGAUAGGAGCUCCUGCUGCAUGGUGGGGGUUGGAAAGUUUCGGCGGUUGGGGAUGGACUCGCGGCUUAUCAGCUUGUUGGUGGGGUAGUGGCUUACCAAGGCUUUGACGGGUAGCCGGCCUGAGAGGGUGACCGGCCACAUUGGGACUGAGAUACGGCCCAGACUCCUACGGGAGGCAGCAGUGGGGAAUAUUGCACAAUGGGCGGAAGCCUGAUGCAGCAACGCCGCGUGCGGGAUGACGGCCUUCGGGUUGUAAACCGCUUUCGCCUGUGACGAAGCGUGAGUGACGGUAAUGGGUAAAGAAGCACCGGCUAACUACGUG